Small nucleolar RNA from Nymphaea colorata (pocket water lily), 109 nucleotides. RefSeq annotates it as small nucleolar RNA snoR100. The record is from RefSeq and is a predicted model, not a curated record. Lineage: Eukaryota; Viridiplantae; Streptophyta; Magnoliopsida; Nymphaeales; Nymphaeaceae. The transcript has a single exon.
AAAUGAAAUAAGCAUGGUUAGGUGCACAGAGAGUAACCUUGAGUCAUCAUGUCUGCUCACUUUGAUGCCUUUUGGCUCUGAUAAGUGGGCCUGGAUUAGACUCACAUCA